RNA transcript from Cavia porcellus (domestic guinea pig), 3438 nucleotides. It is a transcript of the gene named calpain 9, with no coding region annotated. Lineage: Eukaryota; Metazoa; Chordata; Mammalia; Rodentia; Caviidae. The record is from RefSeq and is a predicted model, not a curated record. The transcript is spliced from 12 exons.
GUGAAUGCUUGAGAAACAUUUAGAAAAUGGAUGCACUUUGAGACCGGAUAUGCGCUGCACCAACACUAUAGCGAGGGAGUGUGUUGUCAGCUUCUGUCCUGUAACAAAAUGCCUAGAAAGCCACUUGGACGAGGAAGGCUUUGUUUUGGCUGUUUCAGGGCUUUCAGUCAGCCAGCCCCUCGCUUGGAGCCCUGCACUAAGGCAGAAACAUCGCGGUGUAAGGGUGGGGGAGAACAAAGCCGCUCACCUCGUGGCAACCAAGAAGCAGAGAGGAAGGAGCCAGGAACCACACAUUCCAAUAGUCCUCUUGCCCUUCCCCCAGGAGAUUGUGGAACACCCGGAAUUCAUCCGUGGGGGCGCCACCAGGACUGACAUCUGCCAGGGGGAGCUGGGGGACUGCUGGCUGCUGGCCGCCAUCGCCUCCCUCACACUCAAUGAGAAGGCACUGGCCAGAGUGGUCCCUCAGGACCAGAGCUUCGGGCCUGGCUAUGCUGGAAUAUUCCACUUCCAGUUCUGGCAGCACAGCGAGUGGCUGGACGUGGUGAUUGAUGACCGCCUGCCCACCUUCAAGGACCGCCUGGUUUUCCUGCACUCAGCCGACCACUGUGAGUUCUGGAGCGCCUUGCUGGAGAAAGCCUACGCCAAGCUGAAUGGGAGCUACGAGGCACUGAAGGGAGGCAGCACCAUGGAGGCCAUGGAGGACUUUACUGGUGGUGUGGCUGAGACUUUCCUCACCAGAGAGGCCCCGAAGGACUUCUACCAGAUCCUGGAGAAGGCCCUGGGCCGCGGCUCCCUGCUGGGCUGCUCCAUAGAUACCAGAAAUGCUGCAGAAUCUGAAGCCCAGACACCUUUCGGUCUUAUUAAAGGCCACGCCUACACUGUGACGGGGAUUGACCAGGUAAAUUUCCAAGGACAGAAAAUUGAGCUCAUCAGAGUUCGGAAUCCUUGGGGCCAGGUGGAAUGGAAUGGGUCGUGGAGUGACAGCUCUCCAGAAUGGCGCUCUGUGGACCUCACUGAACAGAAACGCCUGUGUCACUCCGCCCUUGACGACGGGGAGUUCUGGAUGGCCUUUAAGGAUUUCAAGACCCACUUUGACAAGGUGGAGAUUUGCAACCUCACGCCUGAUGCCCUGGAGGAGGACACUCUCCACAGAUGGGAGGUCAUAGUCCACCAAGGAAGCUGGGUUCGGGGCUCUACAGCUGGGGGCUGCCGCAACUUCCUGGAUACCUUUUGGACCAAUCCACAGAUAAAGCUGUCCCUGACAGAGCAAGAUGAGGGUCAGGAGGGAUGCACUUUCCUUGUAGCCCUGAUGCAGAAGGAUCGGCGGAAACUCAAGAGGUUUGGUGCUGACUUGCUGACCAUAGGCUACGCCAUUUACCAGAGCCCGGAGGAGCACGGACACCUGAGCAGAGACUUCUUCAGGUAUCACGCUUCCCUGGCCAGAAGCAAGACCUUCAUCAACCUGAGGGAAGUCUCUGACCGCUUCCAGCUGCCUCCGGGGGAGUACAUUCUGAUCCCCAGCACCUUCGAGCCCCAUCAAGAGGCUGACUUCUGUCUGAGGAUCUUCUCAGAAAAGAAGGCCAUCACCAGGGACCUGAACGGAACCAUAGACAUCCACCUUCCAGAGGUGAGUCUUUUGCCCCUGUGGGAGAACUGGAUGUGGGCAAAGGCCCUGGAACCCUCUCUCCUGACCAUGGUGCCCCUCAAAGUUCAAGGUCAGGAAAUGGUGCAUGUGCUUGGGUUUGUGGCUGUGGUUCCAGCCCUGGAUGCCAAACUCCAUGCAUAGCCCACAGGCAACAGCAGGGCUGAGACAGGCGCUCAGCAUAAAGUUCUGCAAGCCGCUCUCUGCCUCUGGACUCUACCUCCCCCUGAGAGGUAUCUGAUGCUUGUGGAGAGAACAAAAUCACUUAAAGUGUAUUUAUUUAAGAAAAACAAUCAACAAAAGAAGAGGAAUGGGGCAGGUAGACUGCUUUGCCAGGAGUUCCAGGGACUCUUCCUGCACAGUGUGUGCUUUGGAGCAGAGGAGCCGGUUUCACUUUACCCCAGGUAUGCCAGGCCUUCAGGAGGCUUAAAGGUCUUCCCUAGCUGGAGCUGCUGUUGCAUCCACCCACCAGCCCCUGGAAACACGGAAACCAAAGCCUCCUCAGAUGUGUGCUGUCUCCCAGUGGUACCUGACCUAGACAGAUUCCUGCUUUCCAAGGGUCCACUGCCCACCCGACAAGACAGGGCGGUGGUAACUGCUGUCAGAGAUUAGGGUGGCAAGGAGGCUUGGCAGCCCCUACCCAGCCAAUAAUCAGGCCCAGCUUCCUUUCCUCCCUUCCAUGCCAACAGGAAGUUAAGGAAUCUGCAGGUUGGCACAGAGCCCCUGCCCUGGUCCUGACUGAAAUAGGGUCACUCGUGCUGAUGUCUAUGUCACCAUGUCAAGAUCAAGCUGUUCACCUACAGUCACAGACACCCAGGACGGGGCUGGGCAUUUAGCUCAGCAGCAAAGCGCCUGCCUGACAAGCACAGGUCGUGAAUUCAAUCCCUGGUACAAGCAAGCAAGUAAGCAAGAAAGAAAGAAAGAAAGAAAGAAAGAAAGAAAGAAAGAAAGAAAGAAAGAAAGAAAGAAAGAAAAAAAGAAAGAAAGAAAAGAAAAGAAAGACCCAGAGAGAUACGACAGCCAGACCCAAUGCAGGCCAGCUCUAGCCAGGAAGGAAAAAAAAUUUCCUAAAACCUCCAUAACCUCCAUAAGUAAAGUUGACAGCAAUUCCUGGACCUACCCAAUCACUUUGGUCUGAAAUUUUUUUUUAUCAGAGAUUGACCCCAGGGCCUUUGCACUGGGCUCUAUCCCCAGACCUUUUAAAAUGGUUUUUUUGUUUUGAGACUGUCUCAUUAAAUUGCUACAACUUGAGCUCUUCCAGUCUCAGCUCCCAGAGUGCUGGGAUUGGAGGGCUGUAACUCCUUGUCUAGUCUACCAAUCCAUUUUCAUAUCAUCCUACUUCUGGACCUGCUCAAGCUGCCUGAAAACCUCAUUGUUCUGCCAGCCAAGAGGCUGUGUUUACAGACAGGAAGCUACUUAAUUCAUGAGUCACUGAUGAAAUCCAGUUAGGUUUUUGGACCCAGCUUGAGGGCGAUCUGUCCCUUGACAUCUGUGAGUCCAGCUGACCCAGUCCUUCAGGAUCUGGUUCUGAAGAGCCUCCCAGGCCUCCAGACUCUGCUCCCCACCCCAGACUGAUGUAUAGCUCGGCACAGUUCCGGCUCUCCCUGGGGGCAGCACCGUGAUGCGUCCCUGGGGAAGUGAAUGUCAGUUCUCUUCCUUGUGGUCCUUUGGUUACAUUUCAGGCCCUGCCGCCUGUCCCUGAGCAGGAGUCGGAGGAGGAGCAGCACUUCCGGGCCGUGUUCCAGCACAUCGCUGGUGAGAAAAGGGCUUCAAGUUCAAGAAACUAAGCCUGAUCU